RNAcentral lists this ribosomal RNA (305 nucleotides) under uncultured bacterium. RNAcentral describes it as "bacterial SSU rRNA". It matches the Rfam family "Bacterial small subunit ribosomal RNA", at positions 335 to 658 of the family's 1533-position model. The record is from RNAcentral.
GCCCCACGGGGCGCAGCAGUCGGGAAUAUUGCGCAAUGGAGGAAACUCUGACGCAGUGACGCCGCGUAUAGGAAGAAGGUCUUCGGAUUGUAAACUAUUGUCGUUAGGGAAGAUAAAAGACAGUACCUAAGGAGGAAGCUCCGGCUAACUACGUGCCAGCAGCCGCGGUAAUACGGAGGAUGCGAGCGUUAUCCGGAUUUAUUGGGUUUAAAGGGUGCGCAGGCGGCCUGUUAAGUCAGCGGUAAAAGCCCGGGGCUCAACCCCGGCGAGCCGUUGAAACUGGCGGGCUGGAGUUGGAGAGAAGG